GGAUCGGCUCACCUGGACAGAACUCUGCUGAGGAUUCUGCAUCUCCACAGGUCAGACCGGCACAUCAGAGCAGGUCAGGGUGUUAUUUUGGUUCCUCUGAGGCUUGAUGAUCAGCUGCUUCUUUUAAACAGAUUUUUCUGAAGAGAAACAGCCAGAGGCUGAAGCUGUGAGAUGGAUCGACACGGAAAGGGCAGAGUUAAGUUCCUAUGAACCAGUUCAAUGAACCGGUGAUCAGGACGAUUCAUGACAGACGUCUGCAGCUCCGGCUCUCCAAUGUCGCUGACCUGCAACGUUUCAAUGCAUCACCUGGAUCAAAAAGUUAAAAGGAGGACAAGGACAAGGAGGCUGUGGUGGGAAGGACCAAGGACCUGGACCUCCUGCAGAGGAGGAGAGGAUUUUCUCCGCCGAGACACAGACACGUACACGGUCACAAACACAUGGGGCCACAAGAAAGGGGAGAACCUGUUCCUCACUUUAACUGCUCAAAAUGGAAACUUUCACGUCUUCACUAUGUUUUUUUGCUAAAUAUUACAAAUACUGUUAGUGAAGAGUAGAUGUCUGAUAAUCGUUUCUGUUUCCUCUGCAGCUCCUGCAGCAGCGACUCUGGAGGCGUCUCAAAGAUCUUCAUCUCUAAAAGCCGGCAGUGAUCAGUUACAUUCAGCGAUUAAAGGCUGAACUCAAAAUGAAUAAAGGCUUAAUAAAAAUACAUCUGAGGUUCUGGAAAUGCAAACUGUUUUGAUUUUAACUAAAGGUAUGAUGAGAAAUUGCUGCUUUGUACUGACUGGAUUUCAAAUAAAGUAUAUGAAAUUCAAACACAUGAUCACUUUCAGUUGUAUUUUGUUUGAAUCUAUUCUGUUAAACAGUGUUUAAAGUUGAAUGUUUUCUGCUGGUAGGUGUGGAGAUACCGAGCUCCCAUGUCUCUUGGUUCCUUUCGGGUCCUCGUCUCUUCUGCUGUUUGUUUGUCAGCCUGUGUUUCCAGUUAUUCCAGUUGCUACUGGUUUCUGAGCUCCUAGCCUUCUGCUCACCUGUGCUGCCUGGAUUGUGUUUUCUUCUUCAUUAAAACCAUCGUCAUUAUUCAGCAACCUGGUUCCUCUGCUUCUGUCCUCACCAACUCCACUACAAUUCAUGACACAAAGCACCGAUUCCUGAAAUAUUCGCUCUUCACUCCCUCUGAUCUCGUCUGAUCC
Long non-coding RNA from Xiphophorus hellerii (green swordtail), 1187 nucleotides. RefSeq lists it as uncharacterized. Lineage: Eukaryota; Metazoa; Chordata; Actinopteri; Cyprinodontiformes; Poeciliidae. The transcript is spliced from 4 exons. The record is from RefSeq and is a predicted model, not a curated record.